Marmota monax (woodchuck) is the source of this 2089-nucleotide long non-coding RNA. RefSeq lists it as uncharacterized. The transcript is spliced from 2 exons. Lineage: Eukaryota; Metazoa; Chordata; Mammalia; Rodentia; Sciuridae. The record is from RefSeq and is a predicted model, not a curated record.
AUGGAGACGGGACAGAAAUAGAGGCUGGGAGACCCAGGAAGACCAAAAGAAAGAGAAACAGGGGGUAGACUGACAGAGCCAGAGGGAACCGGACGCGAGCGGGAGGAGGCAGGAGGCAGUGGAAGGAGGCGCCCGGCCCUGCCGUCGGGCCGGCGGCCGGGCCUCCCCCACCGCUGGGCUGCUCACCUGCUCCCAGUGACACCGGAGAGCGCCAGUUCUCUGCCCUCCCAAGGCUGGGCAGCCGCGGGUGGGGCUGGAGUCACGACUCCCGGACUCUAGGGCUCUCAGCAGCCCUUGCCAGAGGCCUCCUGUGGACAAGAAUAGAGGGGGAUGGAGACGGAGACGUCCCUCCAAGCCAAGCCCAAGUUCUCCUUCAGGAAGAAGCUACCGGGGUUUCCACCUAUGCCUUCCUCUGGCCAAGCGUCUGUCCAGCCACCUCCUGGAUGUCCUGGCCUCGGUUCCGGUCUUCUCAGGUCACAGACCUGGGGACAGCCCUUUUGGGUCCUCGCCACCUUGACCUUCUCCUCUCAUCUUUGCUUUCUCUCCACCAACUUGCCUUCCCCGCUGCCCACAAAGGCUCCUUCUUUCAGUAUUUCCAGGCCUCGGCACACACCGUGCUUCCUACCCUGGGCACACCUUCCCUCUCCCUAUGAACUCAUAUUGCUCCAGCAAAGCCUCAACCCCUUCCUCCAGGUAGUCUCCACUCCCUGAGCUCCUCCCUCAGCCUGGGAGUUACAGGAGGGCUGGGCGCAGGGGUCGGGCACUGGAGAACACGAUGAAGAAUUAAGUAGAAAAUGCCGCAGCAUAAAAGGAGAAGUGCACGUGAGCAUGCCCACGCGGGGGGGGGGGUGUCCACGUGCGGCGCCCUCAGGUACGCCCCCUCUUCCGUCCGGGCCACACCGCAGCCGUCAGGCCUAGGUUGCAUUUCCCGCCCCCCAGCUUGCGGGUGCGCAGGGAGAAAGGAGGGGCUGCUGUGCUUCCUGGCUCGCGCUUGCGCAUUCGAUCCAGCUGGGCUGAAGUCCCGACUCCAGGUGACUACGGACGCUACUAUUGGCCUUUGAAAAUAGAGAACGGCGUGUCCGCCAAUGAGACUUCCCCGAGGGUGGGCGGGGCCUGGACCUCCCCACUAGGUGACGGGGGUGGGCGCGCCCUCCCCGCAGUGACGUCAGGCUCCUUUCGUGAUGCGUUGCCCUGGAAACCGCGUUUCCAUCUCCGCGGGUUUCCGGGGGCCGCCCCCUCCCAUUCAGUUUUUUCCUCAAUGGGGGAGAAAGCGGUGCAGGGCCAACUCCGCCCCCUGCGAGCCUGGUAACCCCCUGCGCGUUUUGUGCCUCAGUUUACCUCUUCGCUCCUCCAACUCAACGCAUGGCCACCACUUGCUUCACCGGGCCGAGCACCUCCCUGGGCAAGUGUGUGUAGGCGCUGGGGUCGUGCAGGGUGCACGGAGGGCUGGGGUUUUUUCUCUAGGACUCCUAGAGAUCUCUCUCACGCCCUCCGGGAGUUUAUUCCUCAGAGCCCCAGAAUACAGCCAGACCUGGGCCUCCACCCCCAAGGCAGGCCCUGUCCCCCACUCCCCAAGGCAUGGCCUUGACUCCCUUGGGGCCUCAGGCUGGCGGAGUCAGCAUGCUAGGGGGCGGUUCCUGGAUUGUAGGUACAAACAUCUCCUGUGAAUCAGCAGGCCCAUUGUGGCAUCCUUCUUCCUCAUCCUCUCAGUCCUGGGCGGCAGGUGAUGGCCAGGGUGACGCUCCUGACUCGUGGGGCUGGGGCUGCUGUUCCUCCUGAGCCUUCCCUUUGCACCUCCACCCCGUGGCCUCCAACUUGGGCGUGGGGGGAAGAGGACUUUUCACCACGACCUUGAGGCCUGGGGAUGGGCUGACAGGGCAUCUGCCUUCCUGCCCUGGGUGUGGGAUGAUCUGGGGACUGAGUGGUGGGAAGGGCAAAAGGUCCAGGAAGAUGUGUCCUAGGCCACCCUGUAAAAGGGACCUGCCCCUCCCCCCUGGGGGUUCUUGGAUCAGGGCUGGGGAGGGCAGAAGCUUGGCCAUGUGCACCUGGAGGAGGGUAAGGGGUCACAAUUAAAAAAAAACUCCUCUCA